AUGUUUCUGUGCUCUCUGGCUGUCUUUAUGAUCGUGCUAGAUGACUGUUCUGCACAGUCAAUAACACCACUGAGGAACAGAAUACUAGUUCAUGCUCUUGAAGAUGAGAAAAUUACUCUUUCCUGCAAGUAUGAGGGAACAGUCCAAGACCUACAUUGGUAUCGCCAGUAUCCUGGAUCCAGACCAGAGUUCCUGCUGAAGAUCUUACCAUCAGAAAUGAAAACUGUAAUACCUGCAACUCCUCCAUUCAAACACCUGGAUGCUGACAUUAGUCUAAGUGAAAAAAGAGUGGAUCUGUUGAUCUCCUCUGCUGCAGUAUCAGACUCUGCACUGUACUACUGUGCCCUGAGGCCCACAGUGACAGGAAACCCAAUCCACUGA
Non-coding RNA from Pygocentrus nattereri (red-bellied piranha), 381 nucleotides. Lineage: Eukaryota; Metazoa; Chordata; Actinopteri; Characiformes; Serrasalmidae. The record is from the annotation of a RefSeq genome assembly.